This 1475-nucleotide long non-coding RNA is filed under the name Equus caballus (horse). Its description in RNAcentral is "lncRNA (ENSECAG00000052369.1)". Lineage: Eukaryota; Metazoa; Chordata; Mammalia; Perissodactyla; Equidae. The record is from RNAcentral.
UCUUGCCUCCCCACCUUCUGCUUAGAGUGCCCCAAGAAUCAUCACCUCAGAUGUGCUUUGUCCCAGCAAAGGAAUCUCACAGACUGGGAGCCAGGAGGCCCGGCUUUGGGGCCCAGCUCUGCCAUAGACUCCUUCAGCAUGUGACCUGUGCCCAGCGAUGACUCCCAGCUCUGCUGGGUCUCAAACCAGAAGAAACAGAACAAGGCCAGAGACACAAUCAAGGAUGAGGAAGGGGCCAGGCCUGGGAUGAGGAUGCAGAGACAAUAAGAACCACCCAGGUAAGUAGAACAGGAGUGCUGGACUGGAAGCCCUGCUCCAGGCUGGCACAACCCACGUGUGUGGCCUGUGUGACUGACUGGCAGGUGACUGAGGGAAGAGCAGUGGGUGCCUGAACGCGCGCGCGCACACACAUGCACACACGCAGGGUCAAAAGAGCCCAAAAGAUUCACAGUCUCCUUUCUAGAGAGGUACAGCAGGCCCAGAGCCACACAGACACACAGUAGGUGACACCCCAGCUCAGGCCCACAAACACACCUGAGGAAGCCCUGCUGCACACUCCUGGACACACCUGCCUUCUCCCCGCAAACGCCCAGGAAAGCUCACUCGGGAAUGUGAGGCCAGUGCUUGGGAGGGUGAUGAGAGUGAGUUGAGGACGGCUUGAGAACACAGCCACCUCUGUGAGAGAGGCGUGACUUGCACUCCUGCCCCCAAAGCUGCCUGCUGCCUGAGUUCCUCGUGAUGAGAGAAAUUAAACCCUGGAUGAUGGUCAAUGGCCGAGAGAAGAGGUGGCUGAGAGAGGAGGCCUCUCUUUGUGGAGGAGACAGGAGUUCAAGUGGAUUCUUCAAACUCUGCCCCUUUGUGGUAAGUCCAGGCUCAGCCAGGCACUCACUGGGCAGCCUUGGCUCACUUGGACUCUGCUAUAAAAUGUCCUCCAUGGUCCUUUCCAGUUCUGACAUUCUUAGUCCAGGGAUCAGAUUCCUGCUCAGAGGUAGCAAAAGGGGAGAAAGAGUAGGGACCAAAAUUAGAAGGCGUAGGGAUGGGGCAGCUGCAUCAAGACAAAUUGGUGAGACAGCUGAGGCCACUGGAGUCUGGGCGGGAUCCUGGGAGAUCCCAGGCUCACUAUCCCUUACUCCCACCCCAGCCUCACUGACCAUUGGGACAGGCAUCUUCACGCGCCAAGCUGAGGCUAUGGGCAGAUAAAUGUGAGCCUGAGGAGAAAAGGACACAGGACCCAGCUUCAGGGACUCCCAAUCUGAUAGGCGAGACACAGAUAUGCAGGGUCUGAGAGUUUUCUGUGUCGGUGUGAGUGAGCAGUGGUCCCUAAAGCAGGUCCAGAGCUUCAGGUCUGAUGGGGACGCUGGCUCCUACUUGAGCGAGCACUGAAUCUAAGGAGUGAAGUAGAACACACGUAACACCUCCACACAUCCCUACAUCUUACAAAAUUAUAGCAACAAGGGCAAAUUAGUCCUGGGUGG